This 409-nucleotide ribosomal RNA is filed under the name bacterium. RNAcentral describes it as "partial 16S ribosomal RNA". It matches the Rfam family "Bacterial small subunit ribosomal RNA", at positions 355 to 776 of the family's 1533-position model. The record is from RNAcentral.
UGGGGAAUAUUGCACAAUGGGGGAAACCCUGAUGCAGCAACGCCGCGUGCGGGAUGACGGCCUUCGGGUUGUAAACCGCUUUCAGCCAUGACGAAGCUUUUGUGACGGUAGUGGCAGAAGAAGCACCGGCUAACUACGUGCCAGCAGCCGCGGUGAUACGUAGGGUGCGAGCGUUGUCCGGAAUUAUUGGUCGUAAAGAGCUUGUAGGCGGUUUGUCGCGUCGAAAGUGUAAACUCAGUGCUUAACGCUGAGCCUGCUUUCGAUACGGGCGGACUAGAGGAAGGUAGGGGAGAAUGGAAUUCCCGGUGGAGCGGUGGAAUGCGCAGAUAUCGGGAGGAACACCAGUGGCGAAGGCGGUUCUCUGGACCUUUCCUGACGCUGAGAAGCGAAAGCGUGGGUAGCAAACAGG